AAGUUAUGCCUGUAUCCAGUAGCUCCCUCAAUGAAGAAACGAAGCCCCAGUAAGCUGACCAGAUGAAUCGACCCACGACACAGGGCUGAGCCUCCUCCUUGUGCCACCACUGCCUCUCUGCAUCUGCUGCAGCUUUGUAGGGGGGAGGGUCACAAUUUACCCUAGGACAACAGCUGUUCUCCAUAGAGAAACCAAAAUCUGAUGGAUUUUCAAGAUUUUGGUAGGUGGUUUUUUUGUUUUGUUUUGUUUUGUUUUGUUUUGUUUUCCUGGUACAAUAGCAGGAGGAGAUGCUUUCCUGAUAACUUUAUUUUGCUUUACCUGUCAGGUCUGCAGUAGUACGCCGAAAGCUUGUAAAUCACAGGCCGGAACUGUGAGGUAGUGUAAACUUCUGAGUGAAACCUGUGAGACUUUGCCAACGAGCCCCCAGCCGACCAUGCGUACUCCAGCAGCCAGAGGAAGCACUUGGUGGGACGUGCGGGCGGCGGCGUCCAUCUGAACUACGCGGCGCUCGGCCCCCGCCUGGGCCCAGCCAGCAGAUGCUAAUUUGCAAGCACAAAAUGGGAGCACUUGCCUGUGUCUCUCAGCUGAAGUUGCUGACUUCACUACCCCUGCUCCUGAGGCCCUUCUGAGGUGCUCCUCUCAAGCAAGAUUGCUGGAAACAUCUGUAUUUUCAAAUACAUUAAUUCCUUGGCAGUUCAGCCUAUCCUUCUCAUUACUCUGUAUGACAAGCUAUUUCAGACAUGAAGCUGGUCUUAUUUUUACCAGCCUCCAUAUUCCUACAGGAUGUACCGGAGAGGAAUUAGUUGUUGGUGACAUACAUAGGCACCAUCUCCUU
Molecule: long non-coding RNA, 835 nt
Filed under: Anser cygnoides (Swan goose)
Lineage: Eukaryota; Metazoa; Chordata; Aves; Anseriformes; Anatidae
Description: lncRNA (ENSACDG00005015068.1)
Source: RNAcentral